AGCAGCCGCGGUAAUUCCAGCUCCAAUAGCGUAUAUUAAAGUUGUUGCAGUUAAAAAGCUCGUAGUUGAAUUUCGGGAUCAAUGUUUCGGUCAUGCCCUUGGUAUGUACUGAUAUUAUUGGUUUCUCACCUUCUAAAGAACCGUAAUGCCAUUAAUUUGGUGUCACGGGGAAUUAGGACUGUUACCUUGAAAAAAUUAGAGUGUUUAAAGCGGGCUCACGCUUGAAUACAUUAGCAUGGAAUAAUGAAAUAGGACAUCCGAUUCUAUUUUGUUGGUUUCUAGGAUCGAUGUAAUGAUUAAUAGGGAUAGUUGGGGGCAUUAGUAUUCAAUUGUCAGAGGUGAAAUUCUUGGAUUUAUUGAAGACUAACUACUGCGAAAGCAUUUGCCAAGGAUGUUUUCAUUAAUCAAGAACGAAAGUUAGGGGAUCGAAGACGAUCAGAUACCGUCGUAGACUUAACCAUAAACUAUGCCGACUAGGGAUUGGAUGAUGUUAAUUUUUUAAUGACUCA
RNAcentral lists this ribosomal RNA (509 nucleotides) under uncultured glomeraceous AM fungus. RNAcentral's name for it is "SSU rRNA". It matches the Rfam family "Eukaryotic small subunit ribosomal RNA", at positions 569 to 1078 of the family's 1831-position model. The record is from RNAcentral. Lineage: Eukaryota; Fungi; Glomeromycota; Glomeromycetes; Glomerales; Glomeraceae.